CCUUUGUACACACCGCCCGUCGCUACUACCGAUUGAAUGGCUCAGUGAGGCCUUCGGAUUGGCUCCAGGAGGUUGGCAACGACCACCAGGAGCCGAGAAGUUGGUCAAACUUGGUCAUUUAGAGG
This 125-nucleotide ribosomal RNA is filed under the name Buellia sp. RNAcentral describes it as "partial small subunit ribosomal RNA". It matches the Rfam family "Eukaryotic small subunit ribosomal RNA", at positions 1657 to 1779 of the family's 1831-position model. The record is from RNAcentral. Lineage: Eukaryota; Fungi; Ascomycota; Lecanoromycetes; Caliciales; Caliciaceae.